Long non-coding RNA from Trichomycterus rosablanca, 1129 nucleotides. RefSeq lists it as uncharacterized. The transcript is spliced from 3 exons. Lineage: Eukaryota; Metazoa; Chordata; Actinopteri; Siluriformes; Trichomycteridae. The record is from RefSeq and is a predicted model, not a curated record.
GACCAAGAUAUGUCGGUUGCUAUUUUUGGUUCUUGGUAGUGGCCCUACCACAUCCAUAUCUAUGUGUGAAAAAGGGACAUCGAUUAUAGACAUCUUCACCAUAGGUACUCUGACUUUUUUUGCGCUGAUGUAAGCUGACAUUCUAGGCAAUUUUUGCAAAAUUCAAUCGCAUCUCCAUACUGACCUGGCCAGUAGAAUCUGUGCGCUAUGUGGCUUAAGGUUUUGGCUUGGCCAAAAUGACCUGCCCAGGGAGCUGAAUGACCCAUUUUGAGCACUUCUUCCAUAAGACCUAGUGGGAGUAUCAGCUGCUCUCCCUAGUCAGAGACUCUAUACAAUUUGUUUUCUUUAACAGCUAAGUGGCAACCUUCCUCACUGUUGUCACUGUACAGUUUGCUUUUAGCGAAAAGUGGUUUUAGUGUCUCAUCCUGACUCUGGAGCUGUUCAAAGUUAGUGGGUAAGCUGAUACUAUCAAUAGUUGGACGUUGCAGAUUCUCACUCACUUUGGUUCAUAAAACUUUGCCUUUUCUUUUCUCCGUUUUGGACUUUUUCUGUUUGGGCUCUACAGCAUAGGGUAGUUCAUUUAGCAGUUCGACGGCCUCCUUAGUUGUACGUUUAGCGUGCGGCCUAGUUACAACUAUAACCUCAGCCUUGCUUGUUUGUUUUUUGUUUAGCAGGUCAACCAGAAUAGGAAUAUCUCUACCUAGUAUUACCGCAUACGGAGCAUUCCGAAUUAUUCCUACUUUUAUCAGGCUCUUCACCGCUCCCCUUCUACAGAGGAUGGACUCACCCAGAGUAUAUAGAAGCAUUACAGGACCACAAAGAACAUGAAAACGUGGAUUCUUGAAGUGGUGAAGGAGAGUGCUGUUUUAUCAAGAUCACUGUCCAGUCAAUGUUGCAGUUGUAAUUGAAGAAGAUGUAGUAAUGGACAACCUGCCCCACUACACUAAUGCCUUCAAGACACCAAACCAUCGAAAAUUUGCAAUUACAUUUAGGUGCUAAAUUGACUUGUAAUUUGUAGUUGUCCUUGCACCUUAAAAACUACAUUUAGGCUCUACUUACAUUUUUUUAUAUAAAUUGUUACAAUUACACACUAUAACAUUUAUAACUUGUAAUUUGUUUGAUGCUUGUG